Molecule: RNA transcript, 6883 nt
Organism: Onychostoma macrolepis
Lineage: Eukaryota; Metazoa; Chordata; Actinopteri; Cypriniformes; Cyprinidae
Exons: 5
Source: RefSeq, a predicted model, not a curated record
CGCAAUUUUGAUUACGCUGAAAUGAAACCCCUGGAAUAAAGUGCGUCCCCCUUCGCUAACGGACUUCUGGAACGGCCCUUAGAGAGACGAAGAAGAGUGUAUGAGUGUGUCACACACAGAAGUGAGUGCAGUGUCGUGAUCGAGAAGCUCGUUCGAUAAAGUUGCUUCAACGGAAGAUAAUCGGGGCUUGAGUCGAAUAAAGGACGACAGCACUAAGUGAGAGUGUGGACAGUGACCCACGUUUCAUAGUGAAGAAGAGUUUUUCCAGUUUCGUUCUCGUGGUAUGUGCUGGCUGUUAGAGUGACGCAGUAACAUAUCGUGAAGGCCACGGAAGCUCCCUGUCCAGUUGGUGGCGAGUGCGCUCCAGUGAGGCAGCAGAGCGCGCGAUCGUCUCCAGAACAAAAAUAAAGGUCUUUUGCUGUGUCUUUGAUUACUCACAGGUGAGUAUAGUAAAGCGAAUCGCUUGAUCUGAGGGGUCUACAGCGAUCUAUCACGCCACAUUAAAGAGCGCCAAAACGGUAUUUAUUGCUUGAGUUUCCUAAUAAAAUGGACAGAAUUUGAAACCUGAGACUGCAUUUCAUAUCAAAAGUAACAACGCACAAAGUGUAGCCGAUUGUCUAACGUUACUGUGCAUUCAUCAAAUGAAAACAGCAUCGAUUGGGAGUUAAGAAACGAUAUUGCUUCAUAAAAAUAAGAAUCUAUUAAAACAGAGAAAUCGGUUUUAUUUUAUUUUUUAUUUUUUUAUCCAGCACUAGCAUAUUUUGUUGUUUUAAGUGUCCUCCGCUGUCAAUGACGCAGUCUCUGUUCUCGUCAUAAAUAAAUAAAUGCAUAAGCCAAUAUGCUCGUCCUUUAGGUUCAUUAUUAAAAAUGAAAACGUGAACAAAAAUAAAAGCAAUUAAAUGGUUAUUAUAAUUAAAAUACGAAAAUUAAAAUGACAGGUAAUAAUAGAUUAUGACGGAAUUUUUAACGACCCUGUCCGUCAAAAUGACGGAUAAUAUUAAAGUCUAACGCAACCUCUGCAUCCAAGUGACAUCUUAGUUUGAUUCAUCUUCAGUUUGGUCCUGGUUGAGACAGUUUAUCUGUGGGACAUUUUAUACAAAGUUGAGUGAAUUUUUGAACUUGAACUACGUGAUCUCCAGUUUAUUUCGACGCACCCAACGUCCAGACAACGCAAUAGCGUCUGUCUGCGGACUGCGAGAGGGGCGUAACUUGAAGUUGUCCAAAUCACACAGAACCACGCGAGAUGUCAAAACGAGAUGUUAUUGGCAAGAUGGCCGCUUGUAUAGAGACAAGGUGAGAAUAUUUUCCCCCCCCCGAAAUAACCGUUUAAAUUGAAGUGUUAGUCAUUUUCAUACAGUGGUAUUGUUUAUGGAGUUAAUCAUCUUUUAAAACUAAGGAGUAAGCAAUAUAUAAUAUAGACGGUUUCAACGGCAACAACAUAAACAAACGUUACUGCGCAUGCGCGCUUUUGUGGCCCUAACUUAACUUCCGGUAGACAUCCAAAUACAAUCAGUAACAACAGCUAAGUCCCUCUAGAGUACAUUAUGUUUUGAUAACAAGCAAAAUAUGUUUGCUGCGUAAAUCAGACGGACUGAGAUGCAGCGAUAACUACUUGGACGGACUUAUUAAAAAUGCAAAUUCAUCCUCUGCCAGCAGGAGGCGCUUUAAAGCAGGAGAACUAGUUUCCCCGGAAACGGCUGUUGGGCUGUACGUUACACAAAGCAGCGCUGAGCUUACAAACGCUGCUUUAUCAGGCACAUAACAUGCAAGAUGAAAUGAAAAUGACAUCGAACAUUUUCUAAAGGCAGUGUUCCUUCAGAAAUACAGUGAUAUAAAAACACCUGUGCCUCGUUUUGAUUUUUAAAAGUGCGUUACGUGCUCAUGUUUAUUCAACGAAGCCUUUUGGAAAAUCGGUCAGUUUUGAUAUCGCAGCGGUUGCCACAAAUAAAUAAAUGUAUGGGAAACACAUCCCACAGCACAACAACCUGAGCCCAACUUCAUUAACGUUACUCAUCACUUUAACUUUAACUGUGUUUCUAGCCGGCGCCACUAACAAGACCAAUAAACAAACACAGACAGACCGGAAGUUAACUUCGGUCCAGGCGCGUGCGCCUGAUGAAACCGUCUAUAUAAUUCAAAAGGUGUAAGACGCUAUCCCCCGGUUUCACAGACAAGGCUAGUCAAGAGUAGUCCCAGACUAAAAUGCAUGUCUGGGCUGUUUUAACUGAAAGCAACUUGAACUGACUGAUAAUUGUUUUGUUCAAGAUGCACAUCAGUAGUGUUUUUAUCCAAGGCACGUUUAUAAAAGCUACUCAAAUGUCCUAAUUGAACUAUGACCUAAUCCUGGCUUAAUCUAAACCCUGUCUGUGAUCUACAUAAUAUAGCAUAUUUGUGAUUUUGCUGUAAAAACACGUUUUAUAAUGCAUAACUAACAGGAGAGCUCCAUUAAGUACACAUACGUCUCAAAAGUGGAUUUACAUAAACCAUAUACAUCUUAAAGAUGAUUACUAAAUGUCUAUUUAACAUCUGACAGGAUUAUCUUUGAUAAAUAUUGCAGAUGAGCACAUCUAAUAGACAUGAAACAGGCAUCUGAGUGAGAGAUGUAUGUGUUGUUAUGUAGAAUUCACUGUUGUCAACACUGCUUUAGAUGAAUGUAAGUCAUGCAAACAAACAAAUCUACAUAAAGUAACCUAUUUUAUUUAUCCAUUAGUAAUAUUGAUAAUUUAAGGAACAUUUGUGUUGGAUAAAAAGGGAGUUACAUCAGCAACUACCUCAACAUGUAAAUGCAGUAUUGAGCAGAUAAAUCACAGAGCUGACUGACUCUUGUCUGAUGUUACAGGGACAGAUGAGACACACGUGUGUUUAUCCGGUGCAGAGUGUCUGAUGGAGGAAUGCUGCCAUCAAAGCCUCUCAAUCUUCUGUGGUGGAGCAGGACCUGCAAGGCAAGGGACCUACAAACCCCUGGAUCAACCUGGAGAAAAGAGCCUUGCUGAAGGACACACCGGUGGUGACGAACCAGCAACCUUCUGCUCACCAGUUCAGUGGUUUAGCCAACUACAAAAGUAGUCAUGCUCAUGGAAAGCAGGCACACGAAUGUUUGGAGCAGGCACAGCAGCAGCCAGAUUGUCCUGCACAUGUUCUCCUGCUCUUGCCUCAAGGUUGUGUGGUUCAGGGGGCAUCAUCAUGGUCUUCCUCAUCCUCCGGGUCAACGAUGUCCCCAUUGAGAAGAGCAAGAUUGUGAAGCACAGCGCAGCUGCAGAAUUGACACAUCUGCAUUGAGAUGGCAGUAGGAUGUGGGUUCACCAUCUGUAAAUACAUAGCCACUUUUCCACUAUCGGGUCGAACGGUUCUCUUUGUUUAACCGUUCCGUUCCGUGCCAAUCCGGGCCAGUCAGCACGGAUACGGUUUCGUUUUCCACUGCGGGGCUAAUAACGGAUCUCUUUGGAAUGCAAUUCAAAUGCGUCAGUCGUUGCCGUGGUAACACAAGUGUUUACAUAUGAUAUGAGGUGUAAAUAACCACCGCGUUACGGAGGAUGAUCAGAAAUUUCUUUAGAUUUUAUUACUAAUUUGUGUUUACAUUGCUCAAAAUAGCGCACUUAGCAAGCUACGGAGAAACUAGCAGCCAGGCGACAGACAAGUGACAGAUCCUGAGUGGCGAUGGCACGCACACGCACUCUACCAGCACGGUUGUACCAGGCUCACGUGGAAAAACAACUGGAACCGUACCUGACCGUUCUUAGAACCGUUCGCCCCCAUAGUGGAAAAAAGCGGCUUAUGAUUGUUAGAACAAUACGUUUGAAUGAAGCUUUGUUUCAUCUGUUGUUGACUUGUAUAUUGUAUGUAUUUAUUGUGAUGCUUCCUUUUAUUCAUUCUUUUACUCAUUUAUUCAUGUUUCUUGUUGUCAUUAAAAUAUAUUUUAUUAAUUCAUGUAUUAAUUGCUUGACUGAAAAUUGAUGUAUUCACAUCGACUGCAUUUGUUCAACUAGUGUAUAUUCAUGUAUAGCCAUGUCACGACAAAAAUUACAUUUUGCUUGUUUUACUUGUUUGUCAUUUUAAGUAAAAAAAAAAAAAAGUAAUUAUUGGUUAGCACUUAUUAUUAUUAUUAUUGCGUUUAAGUGUUGGGGUGGGCAAACGAUGCAAUUCAUUCUGGGGUAAUCUUAAUUUUUAAGUAGAAAUACUUAAAUUUUUAGAGUAUAAAAUCAACCGUCUUCUCCAAAGGCGAGAUCUUCGAGCAGCUGCCCGACAUGUCCUUUGUGCUGACAUUUCAAACACUGAGGAAAACCGUACUAGAUAGUUGAGUUAGUGAUGCUAUGAGGUGUUAGUGCACCUGUCCCUCUUUUUUAUUAUUAUUAUUAUUGCCGAACUUAUUACAUAAAAGAUCAGGGAAAGAUGGUUGUAUCUAACAAUGAACAAUCAUAAAUGGCAUAAAACGGUAAACAAAAAUUUAAUGUGUUCAUCAUAGUAUGAGAUAAUAUACACAGAAAAAAAGCACAGUGACAAGGUUAAAUAUCUUUGAAUAAUUCAUCAUGAUGCUUUUUUUUAGAAGCCUGAGCGAUGAAAAAAGAAAGUUAAAUUCAACAAGAAAACAGGAGAUUUAAGCCACUUUUGCUUGUGGAUGAUAAAAUAGUUAACAAAAUAUUCAAGAGAUAACAAUUUUGGGUUUUUGUAAUAAAAAAUAAAAUAAAAAAUACUUUAAGGAUAAAACUGUGGAUCACAUUAGUGGAGUUACAGAUAUAAGAACUUAAAUCAACACAAAAUGUAUUGACUACUACAAUCACAAAAUAAAAGGGCAGCUGUUUCUUUAACAAGACCACAAAAUGAGCAAAUUUCAUCAGUAUCAAGAUACUUACAGAUAGAUUAAUUAAACCUGUCACUCAUAUCUUUUGUUGCGCUUGUUAUAACGUCUUAGGUCACAUGAUAACGUCAACAUAGCAGAUGAUAUCCGAAUCGCAUUCAUACUUAAUGCCGAGUUCACACUGCACGAUUUUAGCCCGAUUUUUCACUCGCCGACAGGUUUUGAUAAAUCGCCGACAAAUGCCCGAAAUCGGAGGCAAAUCGGAGCUCAUUCACGCGAGUGACAAUCGCGCAGUGUGAAUUAUCAAAGACACGAUCUGAGAGAAUCGCCGACACGUCGCCGACCCCUGUGAAAUAUUUGACAUGCUAAAUAUCUGGAGCUGUCGGCGAUUCACAAUCACGCUGUGUGCAAUGAGUUCUGACUGAAAACUACAUCGGCGAUGACCUUCAGCCAACGAGAGACAAAGAUACAGGGCAGAGGGAAGUUCGGUGAGGAGUUAUAGACCAUAUCAUUAUUUUAAUAUGUACAAUUAUAUCAUACAGAAACAAGCACAAACGCUUGACCAGCCGCAACAUCAGCAUAACAGUUACUGCAAAAUUAUUAUUUACCACUCUUUGCAGAACACAAUCCCUGUUCCCUGCAUCUCCCUCCUGCAUAAUCUGUUUUUAUUUUUGUAGCUGGAAAUCAGCAGACACAGACAAUUUGCGUGCUAUAUUUUUUUAAUACUUCCAGUCUCGCUCGAGAACAACGGUCUGACGCACGCGGGUUCUUUAUCACUUCUCGCGUGUGUUUUGUUGUGAAACGUAGUUUGCGGAUCAGACAGAGUUGUCGGCGAUUCUUCCUAUUGUGAAAUCGUGCAAUGUGAAAGCCCCUGUCGCCGAUCCAUCGUGCAAUGUGAACACAGCAGCGACUGAAUGCUACCCCAGAUAGUCACGCAGUGUGAAAACAACAGCGAUCCGACGAGUUUGAAAAUCGUGCAGUGUGAACUCGGCAUAACGCAUUCAGGCUGUAGAGCAGGGGUGCCCACACUUUUUUGUGUGGGGAUCUACUUUUCAAAUGAGAAACUCACCGAGAUCUACCAGGUGAAAAAUAAAUAAAUAAUAAAAUACAUACAAUAAAUAGGUCUAUAAAAAAGCUUGUUGGGAUGUAUCUUUAUAUUGCAUUAAUUAUUUUUUAAUUAAAAACAAAUAUUAAUAAUAAAAUAAUGUUCAAUUCUUAGUACCCCCAUAGAACUGUGCCUGCAUUUACCUAAAGCAGUGGUUCUCAAACUUUUUUACUCCAAGACCACCUCCUCUCCAAAUCAAUACGUAAAGCCCAAACUUUUCUAUUCACUAAAACCUAUGUACUUUCAUGUAAGUUUUUUUAAACAAAGCAAAUUCAAGAUAGAUUUAAACAUUCCAUGUUCUUUUUGCAAACAUACUUCGCAAACAUGUCACUGAUAUUCUACACAACUUAAAAGUAAGUAAAAGUACGUAUAUCUGAACUCAGACGCCACAGUGAAUAGUUCCUCUGUCGGAACAAGCUGUUCGGAGCGUUUGAUGCCCGUAUGUACAUGAACACCACUGAUCCUCACAAACUUCUCCAAAACACGCGAGCAUCUGUUAUAAAACACUCGCUGUAUUCAACUACGUGAAUAUACUGAGCUGUAUUCAAGCAGAAAUAUGAUGUUAUAGCCGACAGCGCACAUACACGGUUCGUUUGCGCAUCAAAUAACUGACACAACGCGCACCUAAUGCACGGUCCUGUAUGUCACUGUAAUCAUCUUUACCUUGAUUACAAUCGUCAUCCAUUAAAACUUAAGGCUACUAGUGUGACACUGGCUUCUUUUAUCCAGCCGAGAGCUGUAGUUUGCGUAUCAUAUGCUCAUACAGCGGUUAUGAGCCGCCGUUCAGUCUGUAUUUCACACAGCGCGAUGAGGGAAGGUUUGCUGGUCUGAAACACAGAAUACGUUGAGAGGUGGUGCUGUUAUUUAUUUAUAUAUAUUUUUACGUUAUCAUAGUCAUAACAUUAGUGAAUAUAUUAUAUAUUAGUUUUAAGUUGUCUCGCGAGAACCACUGACCUAAAGCGCGAUCUACCAGCAUUGCCUUC